AUGAUGGACUAUAGGACAGGACUGCUGCUUUUAACUGUCUGCUGGGCAGGUGUUGAUGGUCAGACUCUGACAGAAUCUGAACCAGUGAUUAAAAGGCCUGGAGAAUCCCACAGAUUGACCUGCACAGCCUCUGGAUUCACAUUCAGCGGCUACAGCAUGCAUUGGGUCAGACAGGCUCCUGGAAAAGGACUAGAGUGGGUUGCCUGGAUUGAUACUGGUGGUAACAGCAAAUCCUACUCUCAGUCAGUUCAAGGCCGGUUUACCAUCUCCAGAGACAACAGCAGACAGCAGCUGUAUCUGCAGAUGAACAGUCUGAAGACUGAAGAUUCUGCUGUUUAUUAUUGUGCUCGACAGCCACAGUGACUGGAGUUGGUUGAGCAGCUGUACAAAAUCCUACAGUACUCAUCUUUCAGGCUGUUAGAGCCCAAACAUGACUUUUCUUCACAUUCAUAUUACAUUAUUUGUUCUAUUGUUUGUAUUUAUUUUGUGUUUAUUGUUUUACAUUAUAUAUUUUACAUUACAUAUUUUCGUGAAUGAUACAUUAUACAACAUCCUGAAGAGUGUUCUUGAGAAAUAUUUGUAUGAAACAUUAAACACAUAGAAAAAAAACACACAGUGAAGAUCACUUGUUCAAGACUCUUCCAGCAACAGUGACUCUUAAAGGACAGAAUGUGCAGCCUGAAGACACUGCUGUGUAUUACUGUGCCAGACAGACACAGUGAAACACAUUAACAGGAGAGUCAUACAAAAACUACUUCCUCUAUUUACAAACACCACUGGCGACAUCCACUUGUCUCAGGAUUGACUGAUAGAAUAUUAAAGUUGCAACCUAGACAAAUAAAUAAAGCAUUUUUUUGUUUGUCCUUUGAAACAAUAUUUCAUACA
Micropterus dolomieu (smallmouth bass) is the source of this 885-nucleotide non-coding RNA. The record is from the annotation of a RefSeq genome assembly. Lineage: Eukaryota; Metazoa; Chordata; Actinopteri; Centrarchiformes; Centrarchidae.